Molecule: unclassified non-coding RNA, 346 nt
Filed under: soil metagenome
Description: partial contains 5.8S ribosomal RNA, internal transcribed spacer 2, and large subunit ribosomal RNA
Rfam family: 5.8S ribosomal RNA (bases 1-120)
Source: RNAcentral
GAUGAAGAACGCAGCGAAAUGCGAUAAUUAAUGUGAAUUGCAGAAUUCCGUGAAUCAUCGAGUCUUUGAACGCACAUUGCGCCCCCUGGUAUUCCGGGGGGCAUGCCUGUCCGAGCGUCAUUGCUGCCCUCAAGCACGGCUUGUGUGUUGGGCCCCGUCCUCCGAUUCCGGGGGACGGGCCCGAAAGGCAGCGGCGGCACCGCGUCCGGUCCUCGAGCGUAUGGGGCUUUGUCACCCGCUCUGUAGGCCCGGCCGGCGCUUGCCGAUCAACCCAAAUUUUUAUCCAGGUUGACCUCGGAUCAGGUAGGGAUACCCGCUGAACUUAAGCAUAUCAAUAAGCGGAGGA